CCUACGGGUGGCAGCAGUGAGGAAUAUUGGUCAAUGGGCGCGAGCCUGAACCAGCCAAGUAGCGUGAAGGAUGACUGCCCUACGGGUUGUAAACUUCUUUUAUAAAGGAAUAAAGUGAGGCACGUGUGCCUUUUUGUAUGUACUUUAUGAAUAAGGAUCGGCUAACUCCGUGCCAGCAGCCGCGGUAAUACGGAGGAUCCGAGCGUUAUCCGGAUUAUUUGGGUUUAAAGGGAGCGUAGAUGGGUUGUUAAGUCAUUUGUGAAAGUUUGCGGCUCAACCGUAAAAUUGCAAGUGAAACUGGCAGUCUUGAGUACAGUUGAGGCAGGCGGAAUUCGUGGUGUAGCGGGGAAAUGCUUAGAUAUCACGAAGAACUCCGAUUGCGAAGGCAGCUUACUAAACUGCCACUGACAUUGAUGCUCGAAAGUGUGGGUAUCAAACAGGAUUAGAUACCCGGGUAGUC
This 460-nucleotide ribosomal RNA is filed under the name uncultured bacterium. Its description in RNAcentral is "partial 16S ribosomal RNA". It matches the Rfam family "Bacterial small subunit ribosomal RNA", at positions 338 to 795 of the family's 1533-position model. The record is from RNAcentral.